Non-coding RNA from Arthrobacter sp. 7749, 90 nucleotides. Lineage: Bacteria; Bacillati; Actinomycetota; Actinomycetes; Micrococcales; Micrococcaceae. The record is from Rfam.
CACCCAUCCCGAGCGGCCGAGAGAUCUGGCUCUAUGACGCCGCAGCAACCGCCUGUCACGUAGUGGUGCUAACGCCAGAACCGAUGGAGC